GUUGCUUUUGCAUCUUAAUUUUUUAGUAGAUUUGGUAAAAACAUUGCCAAAUUAAUUUCAGUACUAGGUGAAAUACCAACACUCAAGUCUCGAGGAUUGGAUAAUGAUCAAAAAGCUAUACUUAUUUUAUGGAAGCACAAAUAAACUUUUACGGUAGGUUGGUUUAUCCACGAUUUCUGUAACAUAGCUACAACUAUCUGUAAAAGUAACCACGGAGAUAUUCA
RNAcentral lists this unclassified non-coding RNA (224 nucleotides) under Hevea brasiliensis (rubber tree). Lineage: Eukaryota; Viridiplantae; Streptophyta; Magnoliopsida; Malpighiales; Euphorbiaceae. The record is from RNAcentral.